RNAcentral lists this ribosomal RNA (71 nucleotides) under Anaerotruncus sp. 1XD22-93. RNAcentral's name for it is "partial 23S ribosomal RNA". Lineage: Bacteria; Bacillati; Bacillota; Clostridia; Eubacteriales; Oscillospiraceae. The record is from RNAcentral.
UUGAUAGGGCAGGGGUGGAAGUGCAGCAAUGCAUGGAGCUGACUGCUACUAAUAGGUCGAAGGCUUGACCA